GGAAUCCGAGAAUUUCACCUCCAACAGUUAAAUACGAAUGCCCCCAACAAUCCCUAUUCACCUUUACCUUCGCCAUGACACCAACAGCAUGACGAUGGUCCGAUGCUAUUAUUCCAUGCUAACGUAUUCAAGGCAUUUGCCUGCUUGAAACACUCUCAUUUCCUCAAAGUAAACGUCCUGAGUCAUGCGGCCUCACAAUCAAGUGAAGAACGCCUUCUCAGGAAGAUGCACAAAAGGUAGCAGUAACUCACCCAGAGGGUGGACCGCUCCUUCCAUGCAGAAAUCCAACUACGAGCUUUUUAACCGCAACAACUUUAAUAUACGCUAUUGGAGCUGGAAUUACCGC
Molecule: unclassified non-coding RNA, 346 nt
Filed under: uncultured bacterium
Lineage: Bacteria
Description: contains 16S-23S intergenic spacer region
Source: RNAcentral